This 204-nucleotide long non-coding RNA is filed under the name Elaeis guineensis (African oil palm). RNAcentral's name for it is "long non-coding RNA (EGUI_LNC013093)". The record is from RNAcentral. Lineage: Eukaryota; Viridiplantae; Streptophyta; Magnoliopsida; Arecales; Arecaceae.
UUUAACGGUCGAAUCAUCGCAUGCUAAAUUGAUCAUGAUAAUGAUGUCCGAUUAAAAUAAAAUUUUGAUGAUGUGCUAUAAAUAUCAUUGAGAUUAUUAUUAUAAAUUUUUGGAUCCAUCGAUGGUCUCUAUCUAUUAAAUUAUUAUAAGAUCGUUCGUGACCGUCGAAAUCAAAAUUUAUUGAUCGACAUAGCUAGGGCUAUC